CUCAAACCUGUGUUCUCUGCGUUGGCAGGCAGAUUCUUAACCACUGUGCCACCAGGGAAGUCCCUUAAAUAUAAUUUUAACAUCUAGCUGUUAGGUGUUGAUUCCAUCACAUAUGGUGUAGUGUUUAUUAAACAACCCACAAUAAAUUCAUCUAUAACAAUACAACUAAUAAUAAUUUUUGGUUGAAAGGUUCUACCAGCAUUCAGAAUCUACAACCAACCCACGACACCACUGAAGAUCUAGUGAUAAUUUUCUUCUUGUGAAUUGUGGUGAUUCCAACUUUUCAAAUGUGUUCUAGGGGUUUUUGGUGUUGUCCAUUUGUAUUAAUCAGGAUUCUCCAGAGGAACAGAACCAAUAGGGUGUGUGUGUGUGUGUGUGUGUGUGUGUGUGUGUGUGUGUGUGUAGAGAGAGAGAUGAGAUGAUUUAUACUAAGAGGUUUAUUAUAAGGAAGUGACUCACUUGCUCAUGGAGGCUGAGAAGUCCAGAUCAAGGAGAGCCAACGGUAGAGUUUCAGUCUGAAUCCAAGUGUGAAGGCAGGAGAAGACUGGUGUCCCAGCCCAAAGACAGUCAGGCAGAGGGAAAGAAUUCUUUCUUAGCCUUUCUUCUAUUCAGGUCUUCAGCAGAUGGGUGAAGCCCACUCACAUCGGAAGGGCCUUCUGCUGUACUCAGUCAACUGAUUCAAAUGUUAAUCUCAUCUAGAAACGCGCUCAUGGAAACAUACAGAAAUAAUGUUCAACCAAAUACCUGAGGACCCCGUGGCCCCGAUAAGUGGACACAGAAUUGCCCGUCACAGUCCUGGGCAGCAGACUCUGCAGUGGGCACCCAGUCCCUGGGCAAUUCUGAUACCGCCUCAGCUUUGUCCUAGAGACGCCACAUUUUAGACACUCCGCGUAAACCACUUGGUCAGUUCCUAGUAAGCAGCCUUCAUUUAUACACGACAGUGUGGAAGUGUGGAACUGUGCACUUCUCGCCAAUCGGGACUGAGUAAAGGACGUGAACUUUUGGGUCCUGGCUCUUGGAGGCCAGCUGUGGGCCUUGGCAUCAUUUACGGAAAAUGUUUCUGGGAGCAGUGCCUGCCACCCUGGAAAUGACACCAGCUCCGGGGAGUCCAGUCCUGGCUCUGCACCUCACUGUCCGCAGCCUGAGAUGAGUCUUCAGCCACUUGGGGCCUCCGUUUCCUUAGUCGACACAAGGACCACUCCCGAGUGUGGCUGGAGAGCCUGGCUGGUGGCUGAUGAGCUGGAGACGUUCAGCAAGUGUCAGAACCGCUCCCCACCCCCACCCCCCCGCCCCUGCCAUAGUUAUCUUAAAAGUAGAUGCCUGGUUAAGUGUACGUCUACCUGUGUAUCAUCAGCAUGAAUCAGUGACCUCGUGGGUCCUACGUUUUAGGUCUGAUCUGUUUUUUUUUUAAGCCACUGCUGUCUUUUCCGUGGACUGGUUAGUAGUGUGUCUUCUGUCAUCUUCCUUGAGAGGAGGUGACAGAAUUUCGACAGAGCCUCACUUGGUCCCGUUAUGCUUCACCCACUGAUGUCACAAACGAGCUGUUCAGCCAUCUGAAGAGGAAAAUGCAGUCUCUUUCUCUGUGUCAUCUGUCGUCAUGGCCUAGGCAGAGGGUGAUGAGAGACCACGAUUUUAAAGUCGGCAGCAGAAUGGGUGAACUUUCCUCCUCUGUUAAAUGGCGGUUGUCGUGAGAACCAGUUCGCGCAGGACGCGGUGUUGUCACCACUGUUGGUUUUUGCCUCAACACAUCCAGACCUCUAAGCUCUCGUGUGGUUCGCGUGCGGCUUCGUGUAAGUUCCCCACUUUGAGGUUUCUCAUGUGUCCUCUGUAUAGACCAGAGCUUGGCAGAGUACGAACCUACAUCCUUCUCCCACUGGUACCCCUGGGAGAACCCGUAAGAGAAGAAAAGUGCUGAAAAACAUACUCCUCAUCAUGGGUCGGAGUUAAUAAAAGCCAGCCAAACAGCUGGAUGUCCAGAACACCCAGGAGGCAGAGGUCACUCGCUGAUGGUGCUGAUGACAUUUCUGCGGGGAGCAGCCUCCCGCGUGCCAGGGAAACGGCCCCGUGGAGGCGUGUAACUUCUUGUCCCCAGGCUCUUCCUGACACUGGCUUCUCGGGAGCACGCGUCCUUGAGGAACUGAAGAGCCUCUGUGAUAUAUUCAACCUGAGUUUUCGCUCAUGGAGGCUUGAGUGAGGGGAGAUUUGGAAAGACCGUGCCGUUCGGCGAGGACCUGUCUGAGUUUGCGCCUGAAGGUCUGGGGUGGGGCUCCUGAGAAGGGUUGGACGGAAAUCACUUGGAACUUGAGCUUCGGUCUUUGUAGCACCCUCGGCAGCCAGUGCGCGUUCAGCUGCCUGGCAGAAGUAGCUUUUCAACCUCCAGGGUGUUUGUGUAGCAUCUUUCGUCACGGAAGUCGACUUCCCCGUCUUCCCAUGACCGCCCUGGGACCAGUCUGGCGUCCGGGAGAUGAGGGAGCAGCGGGAGAGAUGCGCUCUGCUGUCCGUGGAGCACGGCCUCGGCAGGCCCCUCCUCGCUGCUCCGCUCUGCACCUUGAUUAACCGGCCUGUGGUGUAUCACCAGAAAUCCAGGCAAGGGCAAAACGGAGUCAGUAUCAGUUAGCUAAAACAGGAACGGACUUCCCACAGAGACCCCAGGAUGGAGCUGUACUCAAGGCGGCCCUUUCAAACACAGGUCUUCCCAAAUAAUGAGCCGUAGAAGAUUUCAUUUAGGGCCUACUUGUUUAAAGAAAUUAAAAACUGAAAUUAGCAGCUGAAAUCCACUUGGAAGAGUCUGCUAUCCCUUUAAUACGUCUGUCUGUUCCUCUCACUGAGACAUCCCAGUCCUUCCUCCGAAGUGAUUUGAAUACUUAAUAUUUGCCGAAAUGCUUUAGUUGGAUUUGAAUAACGUAAUUGAAUUUCUCCUGCUGCAUUCAGGGUACGUGAAGGCUUGGGAGUUCCUGUGGUAAGAUGUGGAUGUGCUUAUUUUUAGAAGUGAUUCUUACUUAUUUCUCUGUCUGCGAGCCAAGAAUUAAUAAGCAGUGGGCCUGCCAGACAGAUGAGGCUGUAUUCAUCAGGGUUCCAGGCUUUAUCUGCCACUCUCCAGGUGAAUGGCUUGUCUCUGGGGCUCAGAGAUGAUCUGCCCAGUGACAGGUUUGGGUUGAGCUGAACUGGAUAUAGAUUGGAUGCCAUGUUUUCUUAGGAACCUCAUCGUAAACAGGAUUGUUAUAAAGUAAGAUCCUGACUACGUGCCACUGCUUUGUGGACAGCCUAGGGAGAGAGACAGAUGAACUGGAAGGUCUAACCACGCAGUCGGCACUGGGAAAGAGAUAUGGCCAGGGCACAGAGGAAGGAAAUCUUUAUCCCUGGGGUAAUCGUGGAAGGCUUACCAAAGAAUCUUCAAGAGGAAUUGGAAGUUAUCCCGGCAGGGAAGGGGGCGCCGUGUUCCAGGUAAUGGGAGUAGCAGAUUUGAAGGCACGGAGACUCAGAGUGUGAUGAAUCCCUGCAGCGUGUCUAGUGGCGUGGCUGGGGCUUGGAGGAGCGAUGGGAGAGGAAGCUGGAGAGAGAGGAAGGAAGAAGGCAAAGCCUUUCCUCUGGUGACGCAGUGUGGGUGUAGGACCUCUGCAGGAGGGAGAUGUGUGGCUGAGUGCUUGCUGAAGUUCACUGGAGAGAACAGCACUCCAGGGUUUGCUUCUGGACUCAGCACGUGCCUGUAGAGGCGGUUCUGAAUGAACCACGUCAUCAAGAAGAAAUGCACGAAGCCUCUGCUCUGUUCAGGGCACCAUGACAGCGGUCCUGACCCUGGCGGUCCUGCCUGCUCCCCAGAGCCGUCCUGCUGCUCCUGAGCGGGCUAGAAAUCGUGCUGGUUGUCUUCCUCUGCAGUGAUGGUGUGAAAGGCUGCUCUUUGGGCUUUCGUGUCGUUUAGCAUGCUGGCCUCAGUCAGAGGAGUGUACAUCCCCUACAUUCAAUUUUGUAAUAAAGUUUUAAUUUUAGAAGAGCUCUCGGAUUACAGAAAAAUUGCAACAUAGGUACAGAGUUCGCGUGUACCCCACACCCAGUCCCCCUGUUGGUGAAGUCUUACAUGAGUCUGGUAUAUUUGUCACAGUGGGUGAAUCAAUUUUUGAAGAAUUACCUAUAUUUUAUUUCUUUAUUUCCAAACCUUCUUGCUAUGGCCUUUUCAGUUACCUUUGACAGUGGGAGGAACUCUUGUUUACUCAUGAUUCAGAAACUUGAGUCGAACCAAUAAUUUGAAUGGCCUCCCUCCCUGUGUUUUGGGGAUUGUUUUGUCCUAAACCCUGUUUCUUAUCUCCUGCAGAAAUCAUACAAUGGAUGCAGAAAAGAAAAAUGCUGCAGAGGAAAAUAAAUAUCAACUGGAAUUUUAUCAAGUCAAUAUGGCCCUGAUGUCAGUUAUAUUAUUUAAAAAGUGUUAUUACCUAGUAAAUGCAGUUUGUUAGACAGAAAUCUUUUUUUAAAAAUAGUUGCAUGGACGAUAAAUAAUGAAAAGACUCUUUUCUUUCGGUGAAAAGGUGGUGUAUCAUCGCCAGUGAUAACAGCCCUUUAUCCUCUGUGCCUCUAGAUAGCACUGAUUUUAUGCUGGCCUGUAAUUGACAAUCUAUACAGUUUGAAAUAAAAAAGUCUCUUCUGGUUAAAAUUA
Molecule: long non-coding RNA, 4648 nt
Organism: Aethalodelphis obliquidens (Pacific white-sided dolphin)
Lineage: Eukaryota; Metazoa; Chordata; Mammalia; Artiodactyla; Delphinidae
Exons: 2
Source: RefSeq, a predicted model, not a curated record